GCCGCCUGCCAGAUGCAUGCUCCUCGUGGGUGCUCUGCUGGCCAUACUUGAGCAGGCCUGGCUUCAGAAGAGGUGGUUGCAGUCACCACCUGGGACAUGGGGUGCCUGUCUCACAAGCUAUAUCUCCUGCCUUCAAAAUGCUCUCCAUGUCCACAGGAUUUUAUACUAAUCCCAGUUUUUGUGCCUCUUAAAUUUCUAGCAUCUGUAGAGUGUAGCUUUACCAAACAUUAAAAGAUAAUUCAGCCAAUUUUAAAAUGACCCUCCCUUGCUUUCUUUUCCCUUCCUUUCAGGAGCUGAGUUUUCCUUUCCUCUGGCUUGUACAUGUUUAAACCAUUGUCUUACUCUUCUACAACCCUUUUAUGUCUAUACCUAGUAAGUACCAGGACCCUGUUGGUCAUAGAUAACAAGGGUUUCCAAAGAGUCUGAAUAUAAAUUGCCUUUUUCUUUGAAGUUUCUGCUUUCAGCUGCUUCCGACUUGACCCUUUCCAUGCUUCUUUUUCUAGAUAUCUCUUUCCUUCCUUCCUCCAUCUUCUUUUCAUCCCCUGAUUUUUUCUCUCAUUUUCUGGAAUUUGUUAUUUCUUCAGACUUGGUUUCUGUUUUCUUCAUUUUCCACUUCUUGUCUCCCCAGUGGCCUCCAAAACCAUCUCUAAUCCACCGCCUUCUGCUUCAGAUAUUUGCACCUUCUGGCUGGUUCUGCUGUCAUCUGCAUGCCCCAGCAGCAUGCAGAAGGGAGGAUGAAGCUUAGCACUUCCUUAUCCGUCAGUCUCACAGCAGAAGCAAGGCACAUUUUCCUCUUCUCUCCAAAGGCAGAGGUACAUGGGAUUUCACCCUGGCAGGGCUUGCCACCUCAAACACCACAUUCGUGUGCACAGAGCUAGCACUCAUCUUAGAAGCCCUUCCAGAGCUGGGCCAGCAUCCAUAGAUUUUUACCUUAAUCAACACAUGUCUUUAAGUGUUGCCCUUUGUAAAGAAUACUUUAGCAAAAUGAUUACUUUCAUUACAGUUGGUGUUCAGUUUUCCAGACACUCGGUACCGUGUGGAUUUAUGUUUCAGACCACAACAGUUGUAAGUCAAACAUUGUGCUCCUCAGUAUAAUUUCCUUUCGCUGUGAUAUUAUUUCUUCUGGGCCUUCUGGUAAUCCUCUCUUAAUAUUUUCCACUGCAGCACUGCAAGGCCCGUGCUGGCAUUGAAAGCUUUUACAUCUGAAAAUCACCAUCCUGCUGGCUGUAAUUAGUGCUGACACGCACACACACAGACUGAUGCCAGGAAGCAGAAGCAUUGUCCUUUAGCCUUACUCAUAUGGAAAGGUCGGAGCUUUGGGGUGGCUUUCUUGUGUGCAGAUGCCUUCAAGCACUGGGAAGCAGGGAGCUGUGGCACUGCUCUUGGUUAAACGACAAGCUCGUCUACCCAAGCAUGUAGCUGUGGCCUUGACAGGUUACAUUUCUGUUUGCAUUGUCACUUCCUAUCAUGCCUGCAGCGGAGGUAACUGUUUGCACUGUCAUAACAUCUCUUCUGCUGGUGCUUCCUGGCCUGCAACACUGCAGAAAUUACCACAGGGUGCAUCGCCCCACUCUCCAGACUCUCGCUUGAGGAUGGCACACAGACAGUCACGAGGCCCCAAGCAGCACAAGCAGCUGUGGAGGCUGCCAGCCUAUGAGCUGCCUCCUGGUUGCCUGUCCUGGCUUUCCUGCCCAAGCUCUAGGCCAUAGGUAGCCUCAUGCCCAGGGGACUACAGCCCUGGAAGUGAGCAUCACUGCACAGCCUCCAAUGGUCACUUGGGGUGGGCUGAUGAACAGGUCCCUCUGGAAGAGGUCCUGAACCAGCUCCUUCUGAGAAGUCCUGAAAACAUAUGAAAGCUAAUAGGCACGAUAGCUGUCAAUAAAAUGCCUUCUGUUAGAUUUCAGAUCAUUUCAGGAAUGAGUACAGAGAGACGGCUGCGUGGUGCCCCUGACGUUGGUGGAAUUUCUUACUUCUCUUGCAGUAAAAGCAAGGCUGCUUGAUGCCAGCGAGAAACAUGUGGCUGUCCAACAUAUUGCCUGAGAUUCACAAAGGGAAUCAUUGGUACUGCUGAUUUCAGGUGUCUUUUAUUAAUACUGAAAAGAAAAAUUGAGCGUUUCCUUUGUACAAUUUGUAAUGCUCUGCUAAUCUGUGUAAUCUGCAGCUAGUGUCCAUUUGUGCUGCGUUUGCAACAAUUUCCCUGCUUUGUCAUUUCCAUCGCAAUACGUAGGUGUUGUCUAUUUUGCUUGUAAGGUCAUCUCAGGCAGUUCUGGUUUGAAAUAUUUGUCCUGCGAGCUUUCCCCAAACAUGUGAUAGUUUCUACUGGCUGCUCUUCUUGUUUGGUUUCUUUUUAUGUCCUUUAUGGGAGGGGAAGUGGAUGAGCUGGGAGGAAAGAUGAAAUGUCCUUUGUGUGCAGUUAGAGACAAGUAUCAUCCCCACACACUGAUGAGAUCUACCCUCACCUUCACGUGCUUCUGCUCCAAGCUGCAACUUGCAUCUACAUCCACCUCUACAGACAUAGAGAUGCACAGGGGACUCCCAGUUGCUGUAUAAUGAAUUGGAUUAUAAUCCCCCCUGGGAGAUCAACCUUACAAAAUGCUCCUCGUCCAUGUCCCUGCAUAUCUACUGGUCCAGGCCCACUACCAGCCCAGUUCCCUGCUGAUGUGAGGAAACCCAGCUCCAGGGAGACACAGUCAGCCACACUAACAUGUGGUACACGUGUGACAUCUCUUCUAACAAAAAUACGGCUAGGCAGUGUUUUAUGUGCCUGGCAUACAUAACUACGUCGCUGUGUCAGUGCACUGAUGAACUUCACUUCAGAGAAGUACAGAGUUAGCAAGAAGACAACAAGUGGUAAAACAAAUGAACAAAGCCAAGCUGCUACGUUUUAUGGCAGUGUAUGAACAUAUCCAAGGCGUUUCUUUAAAAACAUGCUGUGCUCUUACUUGUGCCACGAGCCCCCAUUCUUAGUUAACCUUCAGGCAUUUAAGGUCAGAAGGCACCAUCUGAGCCAUCAGUUCUGCUGUACAAGUAGGAGACUGGGUCAUGAGAAAGGAGAAGUGAAUGAAUCUCAUGAAAAGAGAAAGGAAAUACCUCUGGACUUGAGAUAGGAUUCAGAUGGGAUUGCUGAGGACUACCAGAGUUCCCUCUUUGUGUUUCACUUCAACUGAGAUGGAGUUUCCCUUUCUUGCACUGAGUGCGAGGUCUGUGGGCAGCCAGGGAAACAUCUGCUGCAGACUUGAUGUGAUGAAGUGCAGAAGUCUAAUGUGGCAAAGAGAAGAGACAAGGCUAGAGGAAAAGAGGUUAAUGAGUAGAGAGGAACACAAACCUGCAUGAUAAUAAAAGCCUGGAGGACUUCAGGGGGCAGGCUAAACGUGAACAGGAAGAUGACAGAGCUGCAUUUCUAGGCACCUGAGGGAAGGCAGGGAGUUGUGUUGUGGCUGUCACAGCUAAAAGAUGCAUCGAGGCACAAGCAAGGAUGUCUACAGCAGCCAACAGGAAGCAUUUGACAGACCAGGAGAUUAGAGAGGAGGUUACCAUCAAGGUAAGAGAGGAGAAAGUGUGAGUUUGUAGAAAUUUUGCAUAGCUAUGGUAUUGCUCUGUAAGCUGCAAGAGGAAACCCUUAACAACAGAUUCCCAAAAGCUUGUGAUGAGAUGUCACUUCUGCCAGGGGAAUAAUACGAAGUAGGCUGCAAGCAAAUAAUAAAACCAGCUCAUUUUAUUAAGCUGAAUCAAUUCAUGCUGGUUUUAUGCCUUCCUAUCACCCUCUUUUUCUAACCGAAGCUGUUUCAUUAACUAAAGAUACGAUUACUCUGUUUGGUUCAGUUGUCCUCAGUGUGGAAUGGCCUCCCAUGUUUGAGGUGUUCGGCUGCAGGCUGAGUUGAAUCCUCAAGCUUAUCCAGUCCUGAAACUGUCCUGAACUGCAGUGGCCGAACCUGCACAGUUCAAAUGAAGUCUUCACAGCAUAGACAAGCGGGAAAGAAUUAUUUCCUGUUUCUUGCAGAUUGAACUUCUGUUUGUACACCUCAUUACAGCACUUUCAUUUUUUACUGCAGCAUGACCGUGCUCAUUCAUGUUGAGCUGUCAUCCCUAGAUCUUCUGCAGAACUGCUGCUGUGCCGGUUGUUUCCCAGCCGUCUUUUAGUACUUGAUGACGCCUACGCAACUGCAGAGCUCUGCUUUGUCCCUGCUCAAUGGCGUUUGUUUUCCCCAGCAUUCCUCCAAUUUGUCAAGAUUGUUUUGCAUUCUCAUCCUGUUUCUCCAAAGCGCUUGUUCUCCAUGGUGUCCUGUGCUAAUUUAAUAAGUGUUCCCUACUCUCAUUUCUUCAAAGAUAUUAAUGAAAAUACCGUACACUGCCAGACACAAAACAGAUGGCUUCAGACUUCAUUUGAUACGUACCGCCAGUUUGACAGUGAAGCAUUUAUAACUGCUUUUAGUCUGGUUUUCCAACCAGCUGUACACUCCUCUAAUAGCAGUUUCUUCUAAACCAUGUUUCUUUACUUAGUUUAUGAAAGUGUCAGGUGAGACAAUGGCAAAAGCUUUACUAAAAUCAAGAUCUAAGGCCUACUACAGAAGGAAAUUAGAUUGAUUGGAUGUGAUUUGUUUUUGUCAAAUCAGUGCUCGCUGUUCCUCAUCUGCUUGCUGUCAUCUAGGUGCUGGAAAAGAGCUUAACCAAUUUCCACUUCCAGCAUUUUCCAGGAAUUGAAAUUAAGCUGCUUGCUCUCUGACUCCUUGGGCACCUUUGAGUAGACCAAAGGAAGAAAGUAACAACCAUUUAGGUCUUUGGUAUCGUCACUGAGUAACUCCUCCUUGUGAAACUCAGGUCUUUCUCUGGCCCUCCUUUUACUUCAAGUGCAUAAACUUCACGCCCACUGCUCGUUGCAUCACCUAUAUCUUUUUCAUUUCAUUCCUCCUCUUAGUAACAUGACCUAGUUUGACUUUCUGUCUGCUUCCACUGCACAUCUGAAACUAAUGAAGAGCUCAUGAUUUAAUCACUUUGUACCUUGUGGGCCUCCUGUAGGGCUUGUGCUAAGUUGCCCUGCUACCAAGCAGUUCACAAGCAGUUCUUUACUAUUUCUUCUGUGAUUGUGCCUUCCACACAACUUCCUUACAGCACUGUUAACUCUUCAAAUGUCCUUUCUGCCUCAGAUUUGCCACUUGAAGGUCACUCUCACCCCAGCUGCCUUUCACCUUUGCCUGCAGACCCAAGUUUCCUGUAUAAGUCAGAAUCAAAUACUGCAGAGCAUCUAGUCAGGAAGGAGCUAACUUAAAGAGAUGAUAGCAGCAGUCAGUUCAGGGAAGAGCACAGAAAGAGCACCAGCACAGAGCUAAAUAGAUAUGCUUCUGCAUAUUUAGCACUUAGUUGUGUCAGGAAAAAUUAAUAUUAAUGUUCACAAUUACCUGCCCCCGCCUAUGAACUUGUCAUUAAAUACAGGAGAGCCGGAUAACAGUGGUGAAAACAUUGUGUAAAACUUGAACAGUGAAAGACUUACCAUUGCUGUUUGUCUGUCUUAAGACUUUUUGACGGUAUCUAUUAUAUCUUUGCACAGUGAGGGGGCUUAGACUUUGCAAACAUUUGGAAAUUCUGUGUAAGAAGCAUGCAGUUAGAUCUUUCAUUCAAUUAAGCAUUGACAUUACAGUGUGUUUCCAAUGAUGGGGGCUCAGGCCUGCAAGCACAGCAUCAAGAAGUUCUCACUGAGCCAGAGCUCACUGUGGUCCAUGCUCUUUAAGCACUGUUGAUCAGGGCUUCAGCUUCUCAGCAGCCAACCAAGAUGCUUCAGGCCUUCAGGGACAGAUUAAUCUUUCCAGGUCAGCUUGUUCCUGUGCAUGGUGUGCAUUGUUCCUAGUAAUGUCUUACUCUAGCUUCAUUAAUAGUAGAAAAGCUCUACCUAAAUGUACCUUCCUGCUUAAAACUCCCACUCAGAAAUUUGCUUUGGGAGCACCUUGCCCUCUACUCCUUACUGCCAUCUGUCCAAACCAAUCUGACACUUCCAGGCCAAGGCUGUGCCCAUGCAACCUCCCUGUGCAGUCCUGGAAAAGCUCACCUGAGCAGAGUGAUGUCAAGUUGGCUGCUGGCUGCCAUUCAUAGCUUGAACAUGUUCUUGCAGAAGUCCCUUUACGUGCUGAGCAAUUGGUCCAUAAGCACAGUCGGCACGGCAGUCAGUAACUCUGCUGUGAGUUAUUUUAAUGAUGUUAUUGAUUUCAUUAGCUCCAUUUUGUUUUGCCUCAUGACAUCAACUCUUGGCGCCAGGGUUAAGUGGCAGCUAAUUAAUUCAGUAUAAACGAUGUUUCUUUAUGGGGCAGCCAGGAUCAAAGAGGACUCCUGAAGCUUCCAGGGAUAUCUGCCCAGAAGCUGGGAUGGUUUGUAAAGGAAUUGUUGACUUUGUUUUAACAUCCCAAACAAUCACAUUAGUACAACUUUAUAACUUACUCCUCUCCAUGCACUUCAUAUCACCUCAUGAGAAGAAAAUGUUACAGAAGAGCUAUGAUGAUACAACAAUAGCUGGUAUCCUUGCAGGCACUCCGAUUUCUCUUCUUUAUCUAGCAGUUGGAGUUUGAUAUAUCAUCCAAUGAUUGCUCUUUGAGUCAUUGGAAGCUCCUACGAAAAGAAGAAAAACAAAUUUACAAGCUGCUGUGGUAGUGUCGUAGUCUAACUGAGCAUCCACGGCAUCAGCUGGAGAACUGUCCUGAUGGUGCUCUUGGAAUUUGGGUCAGACUACAUAAUGCUCCAAACAAGCUGUGAAGAAAGCUGCAGGAAGAUCUGAGAGGCAUCCCCAUGAGGACAGGGAUGGAAGGAGCUGGAAGGACAGCUCACCCCAGCUUGUGUCACAACAGCAGAGAUCAUGUUUGCAUCUGCAAGAGAAGCUGCAGUCAACAACAUGGUGCCAACAGUCUCCAGCUAGACAAGUCCCAGGCCCUAGCUGGAUGGCACCAACUGGACUGUAUGUCUGGGCACUGCGUCCCACUCAUUUUUAAGGAAAAUUAAGCCCCACCCCGGAGAGUCUGCUCACAGCUCAGGCAGUUCUCUGCUGGACUGGGCUGCCUGGAGCCCGUGUUCUCCACAUCUGAAACCAGACGACCCCAGGAGCAAAGCUCCACGUUUCCAGUCACUGGUUCACAGCCUCUGGCAGUUCCUGCAGGAUGGCUGAAAACAGUGCCAUGGGGCUGGCAGCUUGCCCCCACAGCCAGUGCAUCCCAACCACACCUGCCUUGGACCUGGAGAAGGAAUCCUAUAAUCCCUGUGUGGUCCUUCAGCAUUACCCAGCAUCUCCAUCCCAAACAUUGCGUCUUCCUUCUCCUUCCUGCUCCAUAAUGCAACCACUUAUAUGGAAAAUGAAUCAGCCCUCCUUGGGCAUCUUUCCAAAUGCCCCUCUGACUAAUUCUGCCCAAAACAGCCAGGCUGACCCUGUGCAAUGGCGUGAUCAUGGCAGACAGGACUGGGUCACGUUUGGGUGGAGGAAGGGAAAAACUGUUUUGCAGGCCUGCCCAAAAAUCCUCAUGUUGACUCUGCCAAAACCACACCAAACAUAUGGUAAAUGAAAUAGCUGGCAUGGAGCUGCUUUGGACGGCAGGAGUGUUUCAGCACUGUGGACUGCUCUUUAGCUGUCUUGAAUGUUAUUUACACUGUUUUAAGUAUCUCCACAUUUAAGGGAGAGAAGGCAAAGAAGAGGGCGAUGCCAAUUUUUUUGUGCAUUUGAUGCUUUUUACAUGCACGUUAUUUUUAUAGCCAUGUUAGCACGGUCCCAAUGCUUGCCCUGUCCUGUGGCUGAGAACAGUAACAGCAUUGCAGAAGGUUUCCUCCCCUCUUCGUGUAGCAACAGACUUCGGUGGAAAAGCACACAGAAGCAUUUUCUCUCUCAAAACAGGAGCUGUGCCUAAUUCACCAUAUAAAUGUCCUGCACAUUUCAUGGAGCUGAUGAAAUCAUGUACAGAUGGAAUGCCUCUUAACAAAGGCUUUAUUCACAGGGCAGGUUUCUCUGCCAUGUAUCUUUGACUGUAUUCCAGCUUAUACAGCUAUUCCCAGUGAAUACAUCCAUGGAGCCAGACCAUUUUCUGGGCAGAUACCAAAGGUGGAUGUGCUCAGCUCCCAACACCGCACUGUGGCUUCACUACAAGUCUGAGGCUGGAAGUCAUGCCAAUGAGCAUUCCUUUCCUCACUCUGUAUUGUUCACCUGGACUCAAGCACCCAGUGCCAUUUCCAGGGUUUGUCAGGUACUUUGGAAGAAACACCGCAGGACAACAGAACCUGAGAAAGAGCAUCCAGAGAAGCCAGAGGUCUUCAGUCAUUUGGGAGACGGCCAUAGGAAUGGAGUUGUGGUGGCUACAGCUACAAAAGAUGGAUGAAAAUAAAGCAGCCAAAUGGUGAUGAUCAUGAAAAAAAAAUAAAAAAUAAAAAGUGACUGUUCUUGAGAUCGAGGUAUAGAUUUUUUUUCUUGGAGCUACAGUGGCAGAGUGCCAGCAGGAGAGCUCACCUCCUCACAUAGCAGCUGGCGGGCUGCUGGGCAGCUCUCCACCACCGUUUGCAUGUUUUAACCCUUCCCCAGCCCCAACUCAACCUGUAGCUUCUCCCAUUUGUCCAUAAGCCAUGGCGUCCUGACACUAUUGCACUCUUGAGGGUCCUGUGUAAAAGCAGGCAGGGGCUGCUGGCCUGCUCGCAUGCACACCUUCCCAGUGCUGAAAACUCAACUCCCAAAUCCCCUGUUCAUCCAACAACCUCAUCAUCUAGACAAGGAAAACAGCAGGCUGAUCUAUGCUGCAGAGCACACUUCCUGGCACAGUCCAGUGGUAUUUGCCCAUGAACCCUUCUCUCUGCCUUUCUUUUUUGCCCUUUGUUCAGCGCUCAGUCAGUAACUCCUUAGAAACAACUCGCUAACUGCCCACGCUCAAAACAAGAACAGCAACAACAAAAGGAAUGAUAUAGAGGGAUGACUUCAUCGAGUUUGGAAAUAUCUUCUCAAAUGAAACAUUCCUUUACUCACAUACACAAGAAAGUAUCAAAAUUCUCUGCAGCUGAUGUAAACAGCAGAAAGAAAAAGUCAUCUGGAAGGACAGGAUGAUUCAUACCAAGGACCUGACUGGCAAUAUUCAUCAGUGUUGAAAUCCUCUCUGCAAGAUGACUACAUGCGAAAGCAAAACCAACGAGAUCCCAGCUUUUGCCAUGAGAAGCAUCAUUAACGGCAGAGCAGCGUGGUUAGGCUCCUAAUGCCACAACCCUUGCUCAUGGGAGUAACCCUUGCUCACUCAUCUGACCGGUCGCAGCAAAAAGCCCUGUGUCACCCAGGUAAUGGACAGACCAACAAGAGGUGAAGCGUUGCUGGACCUGGUGCUUACCAACAUGGAAGAGAUUGUAAAAGAGGUUAAGAUUGGAGGCAGCCUGGACUAUAGCGAUCAUGCCCAGGUUGAGUUCAUGAUCCUGGGGAAUGUGAGCCUGGUAACGAGUAGAGUCAGGACCUGAACUUCAGGAGAGCCAGCUUCAGGCUGUUUAAGGAAGUGUUGGAUGAGAUCCCCUGUGAAACUGUCCCUAGGGACAAAGUAACAGGACCAAGCUGGCAGCACUUUAAGGAUGCUUCUCUGAGAGCACAAGAGCUCUCCAUCCCCCAGAAUAAGAAAUGAGACAGAUGAGGCAGGAAACCAGCAUGGCUGAGCAAGGACUUGCUGGUCAGGCUGAGUGGAAAAAAAAAAAAAAAAAAAAAAAAAAAAAGAAAGGAAAAGGAAAAGCAGUGGAAGUGGGGAUGGGUGACCUGAGAAGAAUCUAGAGAUGCUGUCCAGAUGUGCAGGGAUGGAGACAGGAAAGCCAAGGUGCAGAUGGAAUUGAACUUGGUAAGAGGAUGUGAAAAACAACCAGAAGGGAUUCUUUAGAGACACUGUACAGAAGAGACAGGCAAAGGAGAGUGUAUUCCCUCUGAUCAGUGAAAAGGAAGAGCUGGCCUCCUUGGUCAUGGAGAAGACUGCGGUACUUAACAAGUUCUUUACCUCAGUCUUCAUGGUCAGUCAGGCUUCUCAUGUCUCUUGUGUCCCUGAACUUCUAAGUAGGGGUCGGGGAAGCAAAAUCCCUCCCAG
RNAcentral lists this long non-coding RNA (10055 nucleotides) under Gallus gallus (chicken). RNAcentral describes it as "lncRNA (ENSGALG00010010788.1)". Lineage: Eukaryota; Metazoa; Chordata; Aves; Galliformes; Phasianidae. The record is from RNAcentral.